RNAcentral lists this unclassified non-coding RNA (651 nucleotides) under Hevea brasiliensis (rubber tree). The record is from RNAcentral. Lineage: Eukaryota; Viridiplantae; Streptophyta; Magnoliopsida; Malpighiales; Euphorbiaceae.
AAGAAAUUUUGCUCAUGAUGGAAAUAUAGUUGUUUUCUCUAUUCACCAACCCAAUUUCGAUGUCUUUGAUCGGCUCGAUGAUCUCUUCCUCCUUUCCGGCAGAGAAGCUGUUUAUUUUGGAGAAGCAAAGAUGGCUGCAAAGGUGAGCUAAGCUCAAAUUUUAAUUAUAGUUGAUCAAUAAAAGAAAAAGGUAUAGUAUCAUGUUUGUUAGGAUGUAAAUGAAUGAAAUAUGAUAUCGAAAAAUGAUUUUCCAGUCCAUAUGCAUACUGUCUUAUAUCACAAUUAUUCGCUGAAGCUGCAUUUCCUUGUCCAAGAAAAAAGAAAUCCUCUUGAUCAUUUCCUCCGAUACAUUACUUCUUUCGAAUAGUAGCUGCUUUAAAGUAAACGCAAAGACAAUUUGUACGUUUAAUUUAACAGUUUGUGCUAUGUGUUUCCAACUAAUACUAUAGGUAAUUUGUUUGGAACAUUUUGUCUUCAGGGAUUCCUGAGUCAACAUGACUACAUCAAAGAUCAAGAUAAUGCUUGUCAAGAAAUAACGUGUUUCUACUUAUUCAACAAAAACAAGGAAAAGAUUACAAGGAAUCACGUGCACUAUCUUGCAGGAAGAACAUAUCAAUGAAUCAAACCCAAGUUAUCCCAGCUGGUGGAAGC